Molecule: ribosomal RNA, 274 nt
Filed under: uncultured bacterium
Lineage: Bacteria
Description: partial 16S ribosomal RNA
Rfam family: Bacterial small subunit ribosomal RNA
Source: RNAcentral
AUACGGAGGGUGCGAGCGUUGUUCGGAAUUAUUGGGCGUAAAGAGCAUGUAGGCGGUCUGUUAAGUCUGGUGUGAAAGCCCGGGGCUCAACCCCGGAAGUGCAUUGGAUACUGGCAGACUUGAGUAUGGGAGAGGAAAGCGGAAUUCCGAGUGUAGGAGUGAAAUCCGUAGAUAUUCGGAGGAACACCAGUGGCGAAGGCGGCUUUCUGGACCAGUACUGACGCUGAGAUGCGAAAGCGUGGGGAGCGAACAGGAUUAGAAACCCCGGUAGUCC